Molecule: long non-coding RNA, 235 nt
Filed under: Elaeis guineensis (African oil palm)
Lineage: Eukaryota; Viridiplantae; Streptophyta; Magnoliopsida; Arecales; Arecaceae
Description: long non-coding RNA (EGUI_LNC075118)
Source: RNAcentral
GGUCUAAGACCUCUGUGAUAUCCUCAUACGGCUGGGGAUGGGCUAAAGCUAACACUUACCCCUGUAAGUCUAAUACUCUGCCUGUCAAUCUCAAAACACAUCCCUCAAGCUACUCAAUGCGUACCGACUGAUCAGUAAGCAUUUGGAAAAUAGUAGAGAUAUGAGGGAUCAGAGUCUGGUCUGAGUCAUCCUGGGAUGUCGAUCUCUGAGCAAAGGCUGAAGUGGCAAACUGCUG